GGAUGACUGCACCCAUGCGCGCCAGAUGACUCCAACCAGCACAGGGGAGAGCCGCCUGUAAACUGUGAAGUCCUGCAUAUAGGUUCCCAACCCAAACUGGCUAGCCUGUUCUAAUAUCUGCAGUGUUCCGAGCUGGUUGAGCUGCAGAGGGGAAGAACACAGCUAGGAGACUGGACACCUGGCUUCUAUUCCUGGCUCACCGACUUGGGCCAUAAACAAGAUAUCUGGCCUCCUGGACCUCAGUUCCUCCAUUCAUGACACCAGCGGGUCAGCAGCCCUUCCUGCUCUUACACUGAAAAUGAAAGGAAAUUGAUAGAAAUGCAGUAUCAGUUGCUAUUGGGGAAGCCAUGUUGUGAGCAGUCCUGUGGAGAGGCCCACGUGGUGACAAACUGCAGCCUCCUGGGUGAGCUUGAAAGUGGAUUCUUCAGUCUCAGUCAAAUCUCCAGAGACAGCAGCCUUGAGGGGCAGCUUGAUUCCCACCACUUGGGAGACCCUGAGCCAGAACUGCCCAGCUGAGCUACUUCAGGAUGUCCGACCCUCAGAAACUGACCACGCCGAGCCCCACUGACAGGGAUCCAAACACUCCUUAUUGCUAUUCCAUCCAAGCUCAUCACGGAACUUUGAACAAUUGCACAGCAUGCCUCGGGCAAUCAAGUCUCCGCCGACUCCAAGUGAUGGAGUCCUCAUGGCCAACCGGCUGCCUCCCAAUAACCUGGACUGUGAGAAAUGAGUGUCAGAUGGAAAGACAGUCUUCGUCUGGACCUGAAGCAGACUCUGCAGAAAAGGUGACAUGCCAGGGCUCCCCACUUCAGGAGGCACUGGCAACCCUGUUUACCUAAUCUGUACCUCUGGCGGAAUCCCCGUCCCCGGGCCUGCCGGGUGUGCCAUUUUGAGGAUAUGGAGCCAGUGGCUCCAUCUCAGCCCUCCUGAGGGCACGGCUCUUCUGAAUACUUCAUUCCUUCAUUGUAAACCUGAAAGCACCACAGCCCAAAGCCGUCAGCAAAUCAUGAAGACAACUGCAGAUUUCAACGGGAGGAAGAGACGAAAGCCAGAAACUUCUGCUGGUUUCCUGACGAAGUGCUGGGGGUCGUUGUUUCUGUGAUUUAUCUAAAUGUGCGGCCUCCAAUCCGGGUUUGAAAAUCCCAAGGAUGCUCCAAAGUUCCUCUAGAGGGAGCCAGAAGGAGGCUGAGAAAGUGGGGUUCAGGGUCCCCAUUCCCACACUAACCAGAGCCAUUCCGCUUUUAUCUCAUUUUUAAAAAAAUUUAAAAUUUUACUUAGUGUAAAAGUUGUUUACUAUUUUUUACUGAAGUGUUUUGUUGCUACAACCAAACUAGCAAACUACAGGUC
This 1347-nucleotide long non-coding RNA is filed under the name Equus caballus (horse). Its description in RNAcentral is "lncRNA (ENSECAG00000057889.1)". The record is from RNAcentral. Lineage: Eukaryota; Metazoa; Chordata; Mammalia; Perissodactyla; Equidae.